This 451-nucleotide ribosomal RNA is filed under the name uncultured bacterium. RNAcentral describes it as "bacterial SSU rRNA". It matches the Rfam family "Bacterial small subunit ribosomal RNA", at positions 354 to 796 of the family's 1533-position model. The record is from RNAcentral.
GUGGGGAAUCUUGCGCAAUGGGGGCAACCCUGACGCAGCUACGCCGUGUGGGUGAUGAAGGCCUUCGGGUUGUAAAGCCCUGUCGGCAGGGGCGAUGGUUUGAUCGGAUAACACCCGGUCAAGCUGACGGUACCUGCAAAGGAAGCACCGGCUAACUCUGUGCCAGCAGCCGCGGUAAGACAGAGGGUGCAAGCGUUGUUCGGAAUCAUUGGGCGUAAAGCGCACGUAGGCGGCUUUGUAAGUCAGGUGUGAAAUCCCUGGGCUCAACCCAGGAAGUGCACCUGAUACUGCAAGGCUGGAGUCCCGGAGAGGGUGGUGGAAUUCCUGGUGUAGAGGUGAAAUUCGUAGAUAUCAGGAGGAACACCGGUGGCGAAGGCGACCACCUGGACGGAGACUGACGCUGAGGUGCGAAAGCGUGGGUAGCAAACAGGAUUAGAAACCCCUGUAGUCC